CCGAGUGCGGGCCCCUCGCGGCCCAACCUCCCACCCUUGUCUCUCCACCCCUGUUGCUUUUGGCGGGCCCACCGGGGCCACCUGGUCGCCGGGGGACGCACGUCCCCCGGGCCCGUGCCCGCCGAAGCGCUCUCUGUGAACCCUGAUGAAGAUGGGCUGUCUGAGUACGAUGAAAAUUGUCA
This 182-nucleotide unclassified non-coding RNA is filed under the name soil metagenome. RNAcentral's name for it is "partial internal transcribed spacer 1". The record is from RNAcentral.